GCAGUGGCAUAGUUGGUAGCGCUCCUGCUUUCUACGCAGGUGAUAGGGUUCAAAUACCGAGAUCAACC
Molecule: non-coding RNA, 68 nt
Organism: Trichonephila clavata
Lineage: Eukaryota; Metazoa; Arthropoda; Arachnida; Araneae; Nephilidae
Source: the annotation of a GenBank genome assembly